AUAACGCACAAUGACGUGUCGACGUGUCGAAACAAAGGAAGUCUGAUAUUAUCCGUCGAUUCUAAAGUCUUUGUUCAAUCUCAACGGUCCGUUUCAAUAUAUAUUGCCAUCAACAACGGGAGCAAUUGAAAGAUCUUCCGAGUAUAUCCCAACCAAGAAGAGCGCCUGGUUUGCUCUCUACGCCUCUCGGUCACCUGCAUGCCUGCGUUUUCUCAUAAUUCCCUUGCAGAUCUCUUCCUCGAGGCUUCCCUGCCUUGCAUCAUGUUCUCGAAUUCGGCUAGGUAGCCUACGGAGCCACACGCUGAUGGUCGCUUCAAGACUCUGAACCGAUUGGCUCUAUUAAAAUUCUGAUAUCACUUUUUUUCUUGUGACGAUUCUUCGUCUUUUGAAUUAUUGGUAUCGCUUCGUAAUUUAUAAAGAUACCUUCUUGGUUUUUUUUUUUUCUUUUGGUUUUUUUUCUAGAUCUCUAAAAUGAUCGCUUCGAUUUACGGGAUCCGCUUCAGUUUCAAUUCUAGGGUUUGUUCAUCGAUUGAUUUUCUUUGAUUGAAAUUCCUCGCCUAUGGAAUGUUUCGUUGCGGUGAUUUUAUUUUAUUCGUUUUCUUGGAGGCAGGCGUGGCGUUCGUCCUGAGCCAAUUUUUCAGGUUCGAUGCCUGAGUGUUAAUGAUUUCACGGGAAGGCUUGCUGGUCUCCGCAAAGGCGCUGGAUCUGUGGGGGCGGGAUUGCAGAGGUGAUGUUAUGAAGAUCAAUUGUGGCAGAUCGUUCCAUGUAACUUGUUGAUGUAAAUGGAUGUAUAGGAUAAUAUCAGAACGAAAGGGCUAGAGUUUGAGUUUCGCUGGCCCUUUCGUCCUGAUUCAUCUUUGUCAUCCGACCUUUGCCAUGACAGGUGCGCUUGCAUGGCAGGUCACAAAGAACCAUAAUAAAAAAGUUGUACGUUUUUUGGUUUGAGGGGGAGAUCGCACGGGAAUUUUGCCCGGGGUCUCCCCACCGGUGUGUGCCGUUUCCCUGUGCUGCUUUUUCUGCGAUCGUUUAUAUUUUCGUUCUAGACGCCCAUGUUUGCUUACCAGAUGAAAGGGGUAGCUUUGAUACAUCAGCUAACAUUACGCCUCAUGCACUCGCAAUUCACAUGGAGUUUGAGUUAUGGAUCACUGCCAAACGGACUUGAAGUUCGAUUCUUAUGGAAGUUUUGCUGCUUUGGUGUUGCAGCAGAAACCCUAGCAAUCAAGAAGUUAUGCAGGCAUCUGAGGUGAUGAUAACGAGUAUGAUCCAAAAACUAAAAUCUGAACCUUUUCAUUUUGUAGUUCAUUUUCAAUCUUCUGUGACUACCAAUUUCAUUUUCAGAGUCUUAUGAUAAAUUCAUUUUCAGCGUUCAUCAUAAAUCCAGUUUAGUAGAAGCAUGUAUUUUUAUUUUUAACUUCAUUGUACUACUUCAGGUCUGGUCAGUUGUGUCCCUUCAACUUUUGGCUUUAUUUAUUAUGCCUUCAGAUGAUUGCCUUGUUUUUUUUCCCGCACUGGCUUUUAAAAUCACUAGGUUUGGCCCCUACUCUGGUUCUUAGUAAUUUAGCGUGUUAAAGUUAGGAUGUUUUGUUGAAUUGGUUAACCAAGCAAGUAUGGUGCAAGUCUGAAAACUUGCCAGAUGUCUAGCCAUACUCUCUGAUAAUAUAAAAACAAUAGCUGAUUUCACCUCAUGACAACUCUAGUCAAUAUUAUCAGACUGCCAGUCAUUUGACUCAUUGGUAAAAGACCUUAAAUUCCCUUGAGACUCUUUUCUUUUCGAGUCUUCAUAACCCUUAUCUUUUGUUAAUAAAAUGAUGCGGUGCCACUAGUCAAAGUUCAAAAGGGACCAAAGUAAAUAAAGAAAGGAGAAGGAAGUUGGGUCCUGGUAUAAUCUUCGACAGAGUUAUCUUGGAGCUUGGUCCUCUCCUCCUGCUCCUGCUAGAGGGUGAGGUUUUGUCUUUGCGAAAGCAAAGGUGGUCUCUCCAUACAGACUGUUGUUGACAGAGAGUGUGGAUUGCAAUGGAGACUGAACUGGAGAGUCUGUGGAGAAGCUCUUUCUCAUUAUCAGAUCAAGAGAAAACUGAGGUGGAGGUCCCUCAGACUGAAGUUGACAGAGGAGUGGGCAAAGGAAAGUUAUGCACCAUGGUACUGGUCGUUUCUGAGAGAAUGAUCAAUAAAGAAGCCUUCCGCAUGACUAUGUCAAAGGUCUGGAAUUCGGUGGGAUGGAUACAAUUUAAAGAGAUGGGCCUAAACAAGUUCCUGGUCGAAUUCCAUAUGUAUUUAGCACAAACAAAUUCUGGAUGAUAUUGUCUAAUAUUGAUAUUCCAUGCUGGCUUUGUUGUGAAAGCAUAAUCUGAGAUAUGUUUCCAAA
This is a long non-coding RNA of Carya illinoinensis, 2365 nucleotides long. RefSeq lists it as uncharacterized. The transcript has 2 exons. The record is from RefSeq and is a predicted model, not a curated record. Lineage: Eukaryota; Viridiplantae; Streptophyta; Magnoliopsida; Fagales; Juglandaceae.